This 1933-nucleotide unclassified non-coding RNA is filed under the name uncultured fungus. RNAcentral describes it as "sequence contains 18S rRNA gene, ITS1, 5.8S rRNA gene, ITS2, 28S rRNA gene". The stretch from base 901 to 1933 matches the Rfam family "Eukaryotic large subunit ribosomal RNA", at positions 1 to 961 of the family's 3401-position model. The record is from RNAcentral. Lineage: Eukaryota; Fungi.
GGUUGGAUCAUUACCAAUUCUAUUAGCAGAAUAAGCUUCCCAAGGAAUGGGAAUGCCUUUAUUGGCAGGCCCUCUAUGGACGGGCAUGGUUUGACUGUGCUCUGAAAUGUGGGUUAUUUUCUGGGAAGCGCUGCUAAUUCCACCCCAACCGUGAACUUGAACCCCCGUAUCUUGGGUCAUCCCGCCUACAUUUGCUUGCAAAUGUAUGUGUGCGGUGUUGCUUUGGCGUAAUUUUUCGUCAGUUAAGAGCUUCACUCUGGAUGGCCCAGCCUAUUUUAAGCACCAUUGUAUUACAUACCAAAACCUUACAAUUCUUUUGACCUUGUUCGAAUUUGAGCAGCGAUGCUUGAAGGAGGGCUGGUUAAACUAAUAAUCUUAAAACAACUUUUGACAACGGAUCUCUUGGCUCUCGCAACGAUGAAGAACGCAGCGAAAUGCGAUACGUAAUGUGAAUUGCAGAAUCACGUGAAUCAUCGAAUCUUUGAACGCACAUUGCGCUCCUUGGUAUUCCGAGGAGCAUGCCUGUUUGAGAACCGAUAAAACCCUCACACCGAUGGUGGCUGGCGUCAUUGCCGCCGCUGGAGGAGUGGAAAUGGGCCUUCUCUGCUGCCCUCCCUCUUUUGGAGGCACGAAUGAGUGGCCUGAAAUACAGUCCUUGUGGGAGGCCGAAAACGAGCUAUUGGAGGCGCGUCUAAGCGCUGAAGCCCGUCAAUCUUUUCUUCCACGUUCGUUGUGCGACAUGAAAUCAAAUGGCUGUGGCCUACUUGUUCAUGGAGCGCUUCGACGUGUUUAGAACUCGACGUGGUAUUUAGGCCGAGCGUCUGCAGGCUCUUGCGAUUAGGAGCCCUCAACCCAACUUUAACAUGCCAGGCGGCCAGCAAUGGUCGAAAACCUGAACAAUGGUCUCAAAUCAGGCAAGAGGACCCGCUGAACUUAAGCAUAUCAAUAAGCGGAGGAAAAGAAACCAACCGGGAUUCCCCUAGUAACGGCGAGUGAAGCGGGAAGAGCUCAAUUUUGAAAUCUCGCUGUUUCACAGCGCGAAUUGUAGUUUCGAGAAACGCUUUCGAGGGCGGGCCGGGCGUAAGUCCGUUGGAACACGGCGUCAGAGAGGGUGAGAAUCCCGUCUGUCGUCCGGAUUCCGCUUUCAUGUGAGGCGCUUUCAAAGAGUCGGAUAGUUUGGGAAUGCUGUCCAAAAUGGGUGGUAAAUACCAUCUAAAGCUAAAUACCGGCGAGAGACCGAUAGCGAACAAGUACCGUGAGGGAAAGAUGAAAAGAACUUUGAAAAGAGAGUUAAACAGUACGUGAAAUUGUCAAAAGGGAAACGCUUGACAUCAGUGUCGCGUCUCAGAGAUCAGCCGCCUUCACGGUGGUGCACUCUCCGAGUCGCGGGUCAGCAUCGGUUUAACCAGGGACAAAAUGCCGUCGGAAGGUAGCCCCUCGGGGUGUUAUAGCUGACGGUGAUAUCCUGGGUUGGACCGAGGAUCGCAGCCUUGCUAAAGGGGACCCCUCUGCCGCCUGACGCCCGAUGUUGGACAACUUGUUGACCAAUGUUGAAGCCAUGGCGCCCAGUGGUCAGUCUCACUCCUGGGCUUGGGAUGCUGGCGAAAUGAUUUCAAACGACCCGUCUUGAAACACGGACCAAGGAGUCCAACAAAUAUGCGAGUGUUUGGGUGGCAAACCCGAGCGCGCAAUGAAAGUGAACAUGGGUGGGAUCCCGCAAGGGUGCACCAUCGACCGGUCUGGAAGGUUCACCAGAAGGAUCUGAGUAAGAGCAUAUUUGUUGGGACCCGAAAGAUGGUGAACUAUGCCUGAAUAGGGUGAAGCCAGAGGAAACUCUGGUGGAGGCUCGUAGAGAUUCUGACGUGCAAAUCGAUCUUCAAAUUUGGGUAUAGGGGCGAAAGACUAAUCGAACCAUCUAGUAGCUGGUUCCCUC